UAGGGAAUCUUCCGCAAUGGACGAAAGUCUGACGGAGCAACGCCGCGUGAGUGAAGAAGGUUUUCGGAUCGUAAAACUCUGUUGUUAAAGAAGAACAAGGAUGAGAGUAACUGCUCAUCCCCUGACGGUAUUUAACCAGAAAGCCACGGCUAACUACGUGCCAGCAGCCGCGGUAAUACGUAGGUGGCAAGCGUUGUCCGGAUUUAUUGGGCGUAAAGCGAGCGCAGGCGGUUCUUUAAGUCUGAUGUGAAAGCCCCCGGCUCAACCGGGGAGGGUCAUUGGAAACUGGAGAACUUGAGUGCAGAAGAGGAGAGUGGAAUUCCACGUGUAGCGGUGAAAUGCGUAGAUAUGUGGAGGAACACCAGUGGCGAAGGCGACUCUCUGGUCUGUAGCUGACGC
Molecule: ribosomal RNA, 399 nt
Filed under: uncultured bacterium
Lineage: Bacteria
Description: bacterial SSU rRNA
Rfam family: Bacterial small subunit ribosomal RNA
Source: RNAcentral